UUACUUUAGCAGCAGCUAUAUUAAAAAUUAGAAUGGUACAGAGAAGAUUAGCAUGGCCCCUGCACCUCAAAUUUGAAAAAAGUCAUUGGUAUGA
This 94-nucleotide small nuclear RNA is filed under the name Sciurus vulgaris (Eurasian red squirrel). The record is from RNAcentral. Lineage: Eukaryota; Metazoa; Chordata; Mammalia; Rodentia; Sciuridae.